Molecule: long non-coding RNA, 917 nt
Organism: Cervus elaphus (red deer)
Lineage: Eukaryota; Metazoa; Chordata; Mammalia; Artiodactyla; Cervidae
Exons: 3
Source: RefSeq, a predicted model, not a curated record
UUCUAUGGAAACCUAGGAUUUACUGAAGGUUGGUGUAUUCUUUCGCGAGAGUAGAUUUCAGGUGGUUUUGUUGUUGUUGUUGUUUUAAUGAAAUUAUCAGAUUAAAAAAAAUUUUUUUUAGAAAUAGUAUUUCUGUUCUCUGACCCCCCAGAUUAUACUCUCUUCCACACUCUACAACCUUGCAUUUUUUUCCAAGUACAGUCAGGGCCCUUGACACAAAUCCAAAAGGAGAAAUGUUUGUCUGCUCUCAGGUUUUAACUAUAGAGUCUUGUUAUUUACAGGAUCAGUUAUUCAGUACACUUGUUUUACUGUAAUAAGGAAAAAAUAUGAAAAGGGAAAAGAAAAUGUUUUACAAUUUCUGUAGUUCACUCCCAAAUCUUUCUCCUUAGCAUUUGCUUCUUUAUCUUAACAUCAUUGCAUUUUAGCUGGAAGGAAGCCUCUUGUCCAACCUGUUUCCUUUAACAGAAAACCAAGCUGAGGCCACGUGAGGGACAUUGGCACCAAGCUGGAAGAUCCAGUCAAUGAAAGGACUUGAACAAGUUUUGGCUCUGAGAAGUUGGAAGGAUAAAGCUGACAUCUACUGAGAGAGGGAAGGCUAUAUGAAGAGCAGGUUCAAGGUGAUGUGUUAAGGUCGAGAAGACUGAAAUAACUGUGUGAAGAUGCCAAGCAGGUGGUUGGUUAUGCAAGACUGGAAUUCAGGAGAGUGAUCUGGUUUGGAGAUACACAUGCAGUGAAAAGAUGCUAUUUAAAAACAGGAAACUAGAUGACAUCUCUAGGAGAGUAGAGAUUCAGCAGAGGGUGAAGCACCACACUUGGGCCAUCCAAUAUUGAUGAGGACAUGAAGAUGAAGUAUCAAAGAAGACAGGCAAUGGCCAAGGAGCUUGGCAUCCUGGCAGCCAAGAGAAGAAAGUGAAGGA